CCCUUGUAUUAAUGUUUUAUUUAAUUAGUAUUAAGAUUUAUGAAAAUUAAAAAUUUUGGCAGUUAAUUUCAAAUUAAAGGAGCUUGUUAUGAAAUGAGAAUUUACUCUUUAUAUUUUAAUAUUAAUUUUGUUUAUUCAUUUCUGUUAUUAAAAUAGUAUUUUAAUAUAGUAUUUAUUUAAAAUUUCAGGUCAAUAUGUAGCAAUUUAUUAUUAAUAAUUAGCUACAUUUAUAUAAUUAAUGGUUAAAUGAAUUUUAUAAAUUUUUAUAAAUUGAAUUUAGUUGUAAUAAUAUUUAUAAUGAUAUUGUGAUUUAGGGUUAUUAAUGU
RNAcentral lists this ribosomal RNA (326 nucleotides) under Promitobates trapista. RNAcentral describes it as "partial 12S ribosomal RNA". The record is from RNAcentral. Lineage: Eukaryota; Metazoa; Arthropoda; Arachnida; Opiliones; Gonyleptidae.